This is a long non-coding RNA of Vitis riparia (riverbank grape), 274 nucleotides long. RefSeq lists it as uncharacterized. NCBI's taxonomy places the organism in Eukaryota, Viridiplantae, Streptophyta, Magnoliopsida, Vitales, Vitaceae. The transcript has 3 exons. The record is from RefSeq and is a predicted model, not a curated record.
AAAUUUAAUGGUUUAAAAACCCGAAUUGAAGACGUAGCUGGAAGAAGAAGAAGAGGGCGUGUAGUACUAAGGAAAAGAAAGCUGAAAAGGACACAAUUGUUUGUUACUCAAAAGGCGCUUGUAUCCUAAUUAUUUGGCGAGUUCUAUAUAAAGGGAAAAAAAUGAGCGAACGCGAUGGUCUUGAAGUUGUUAGAAAUCCAAAGAGGCCUAUCGGCGCUUGGAUACAUUACUAUAACGAUCAAUUAGCCAUGAUGAAAGAGAAGGAUAAAGGAGU